UACGGGGGGAGCAAGCGUUGUUCGGAUUUACUGGGCGUAAAGGGCGCGUAGGCGGCCACCGCAAGUCGAUUGUGAAAUCUCCGGGCUUAACCCGGAAAGGUCAACCGAUACCGCGGGGCUAGAGUGCAGAAGGGGCAACUGGAAUUCUCGGUGUAGCGGUGAAAUGCGUAGAUAUCGAGAGGAACACCUGCGGCGAAGGCGGGUUGCUGGGCUGACACUGACGCUGAAGUGCGAAAGCUAGGGGAGCGAACGGG
This 254-nucleotide ribosomal RNA is filed under the name uncultured bacterium. RNAcentral's name for it is "partial 16S ribosomal RNA". It matches the Rfam family "Bacterial small subunit ribosomal RNA", at positions 524 to 776 of the family's 1533-position model. The record is from RNAcentral.